UUUAAAGCUAAACACAUGCGCUAGAUUAUUGUUAGUUAUGUUCUUUAAAUUUAAAGGAUUUGGCGGUAAUUUAGUCUAGUUGGAGGAACCUGUUUUUUUAAAACGAUGAGCCACGAAGAAUCUUACUUACCUUUAUUUGUUAGUAUACCGUCAUUAUUAGAUAACUUUGAUAAAAUUAGUUGUCGAAAUAUAGCUAUUUAUGUUAGUAUAAUAUAUUAGAUCAAGGUGCAGCCAAUAGGUAUGUAAAAAUGGGUUACAAUAAAUUUUAUUUUAAACGAAUCGUGAAUUGAAUAUAUUUAUGUGAAGGAGAAUUCAAUUGUAAAUUUGGUUUAAUAAGCUAAAUUGGUAAAAGCUCUAAAUUGUGUACAUAUCGCCCGUCACUUUCAUCUUAAAAUGAAAUAAGUCGUAACAUAG
This 414-nucleotide ribosomal RNA is filed under the name Calocaris caribbaeus. Its description in RNAcentral is "partial 12S ribosomal RNA". The record is from RNAcentral. Lineage: Eukaryota; Metazoa; Arthropoda; Malacostraca; Decapoda; Axiidae.